Sinocyclocheilus anshuiensis is the source of this 2588-nucleotide long non-coding RNA. The record is from Ensembl. NCBI's taxonomy places the organism in Eukaryota, Metazoa, Chordata, Actinopteri, Cypriniformes, Cyprinidae.
CAGAAGUGCAGAAGUGUGCGUUGGUCGAAGGGAGAUAGAAUAAGGCCUCCAAGGUUUUUAUCUGUUGAAUUAUUCAGGAAAUUUUAAGACAAAGUCAACUUCAACAGAGCAGGACACGCAAUGGAGUGACCAUUAAAGUUUCAGUGCUGCUUUCUGUGAUAAGACAGUCAUCUGAUAUAAAAGCUAUGAGGAAAUUGACAUAUGUAAACAUAUGCCACGGGGCAGCUCUGGUAAAGGACAUUUUUUAAGAUGCCCCCUACGUUAUGUGCACAAUUACAAGGUGAAAUCCAGUCAUUUCAAUAGGAAUCAACGCAAUCUGGAAUUCCGUGUUGUGGUGAAAUUUCCCCAUUUCCUAAGCUGGACACACGGAUUCACCACACUGAUCAACAGAAAGCUGCUUGGUUUGAAAGUGACUUCUCUGUGUGACCUGUGCUUCAUACAUCGCUACACUAUAUUAGCUGAAUUUUGGCUAAUGUGACUGCAACUUCUCACAGGAUCCAUGGGCUUGGGAGUUAGCUUGAUAUAUAUACGGUAAUGCAAUGAAGAUUUAAAGCAAGUUAACUUGAAAAGUUUGGACAAGAUAAACCAAAUGUUGAAAAAUCAUUCUGUUGAUGAAAAAAAAAACACAUUAAACCAGCUUUUUAGCAGGUCUAGUUUAAGUUGGUCUAGCUGGUCUUCCAGUGUGGUCAAGAUGAUAUUCAGCUGGUUUAGCUGGUCCUCACCAGUCAAUGAUCAGCAAACCAGGUGAUUUAAUUUUGUUUUCAGAAGGGUCAAUAAACCUUUAAAGGUGAUGACUUUUUCCUCACAGGUUAAAGAAAUAUGACAAAAUGUGUAAAAAAAAUAAAAAAAUAAAAUAAAAAUAAUAUAUAUAUAUAUAUAUAUGAUUCAUGGAUCUUUUCAUUCAACAAGCUUUCAUUUGAGUGCAUUCAAACAGAAAAACAUCUGAAAAAUCUUGCUUUAAGUCAGGUUCACACUUUACGAUUUUGCCAUCUGAGACAAAUUUCGGGAUCAUACAAUUUCUGUAGCACAAAAUGUGGUUUUUGCAUGAAGUGUAUUCACCAUCAGAUGAUUUCUUCGCUUCACAACGAUUCUCAGCCUCCAAUGAAGUUCUGGCGGUGAAAUUUUGUUGCAGCUGUGCGGUGACCACUCGUAUAUGCUGUCAACAGCACCACUGGGACCAAAAUCCUGGAUGUGUAUCGUACAGUCUGACUGCUAACAUCACACAGUGUGCCAUGACUCUUUUACCCAAGAUCUCAUUGGGAUCAUGUACAACAAUUGUAGAGGACUAGAACAAUCGUACUGUAUGUGCCUGGCUUAAGCUUAAACUGUCAGACCUUCACUACAGACAGCUUCUUACGCCCCUGUAUUCACCCCAAUAAAAUAGCCGAAUGUGGUAAACCCCUAGGAAAAUGUCAUCCUCAAAAAAAAAAAUGUUUCUUUCCGAUCAGAUGCCUUGAACAGAUACUACAUGAAAGAUUGAGAUCUGAGGUUAUUUCCUGUAAAAAUAUUGCAAAUGCCAAGAGUGUAGAGGCCGUAAAACCACUUAAAAAUAUACUCACAAAAUACCACAGGGAUAAAGGAAAUGUAUCAGUCUCCUGGUUUUCGUUUCAGUCUUUGAAGCAGGAAGUCUUGUUGUCUUUUCUCUGCAAGGAGCUCUUGAAUUCUUUUAUUAUGCGUUUUCUCACGGAACGACACUCGCUUUCUGGGGACAAAGUGGUUGAGUGCGACUUCGUUUGGACUGGCAAUCCUGUAGGACAUGUCGAUGGAGUUAUUCUCCUUCUUGUCUUCUGACCGAUGGAGACUGAUUAUGGCAGGAGGGUUUGUUGCAGUAACAUUAGGCUGUAGCAUUGUCACAAACGUUGUCCCGAUGUUUUUAUUCUCAAGUGUGCUUGUAUAUUGUGGAGUGGUUGGCCAAGGCUCUACAAACUCUGAUGAUUCAGAUUCUGAGAAGUGUUCGGUUGAGAUAUCGCUCCAGGUUUCGUCCUCGUAGAAGGGGGUGCUGGUUUCCUCUUCGUAGUCGAGUGUGCUGGGAUGCUUAGUGUGCACAGUGACAGAACCAAUGGUGAAAGGGACUGUGGUUCCUGGUUUUAGGGUUAUUGGGUUCACAGUGGAUGUGUAGCCCCAAGAUGUGGGCUCAGUGCUGAUGUUUCUCGAUCUGCUGAAUGAUGCCGUGAUUGUUGUGCCAGGCUUCUGUGAAGUUCUGUACAGCUGUGUUGUGAGAACAGGAGCCGUUGCGGUGGGAGUUAUGGGAGGGGCGACAAUGGUGUACAUCCAGGGUCUCGUCAGGUUGAAUUCAGUGGUGUAGUUGCCCUCGUUGCAGGACUUGCAGCACAUCUGCCUGUAGCCCGGAUUGGAGCAGUACGUACUGAGAACCUCCAUCCGACAGAACACAGACUUGUCUCCUUUACAGCGGGAUCCUGAAAAAUAAACCAACAGGAUGCUCAGUGUGGAGUUAGUGAUGUCAGUACAACAAUGGGAAAUUAUAAAAAGAAAAGAAAAAAAUACAAUAAUAGGAGAUUCGAAUAAAUAAAUAAAAAUAUAUAUGAAAUACGAAAAUGAAAGAAGCAUGCAGCAGCGUGACCCUGGCA